RNAcentral lists this ribosomal RNA (747 nucleotides) under uncultured Actinomycetes bacterium. RNAcentral's name for it is "bacterial SSU rRNA". It matches the Rfam family "Bacterial small subunit ribosomal RNA", at positions 8 to 796 of the family's 1533-position model. Lineage: Bacteria; Bacillati; Actinomycetota; Actinomycetes. The record is from RNAcentral.
AGAGUUUGAUCCUGGCUCAGAGCGAACGCUGGCGGCAGGCCUAACACAUGCAAGUCGAACGGGCCCUUCGGGGUCAGUGGCAGACGGGUGAGUAACGCGUGGGAACGUGCCCUUCAGUUCGGGAUAACCCAGGGAAACUUGGGCUAAUACCGGAUACGUGCGAGAGCAGAAAGAUUCAUCGCUGAAGGAUCGGCCCGCGGUGUAUCAGCUUGUUGGUGGGGUAACGGCCUACCAAGGCUUUGACGCAUAGCUGGCGUGAGAGCGCGACCAGCCACACUGGGACUGAGACACGGCCCAGACUCCUACGGGAGGCAGCAGUGGGGAAUAUUGCACAAUGGGCGAAAGCCUGAUGCAGCGACGCCGCGUGAGGGAUGACGGCCUUCGGGUUGUAAACCUCUUUCGACAGGGACGAAGCGAAAGUGACGGUACCUGUAGAAGAAGCACCGGCUAACUACGUGCCAGCAGCCGCGGUAAUACGUAGGGUGCGAGCGUUGUCCGGAAUUAUUGGGCGUAAAGAGCUCGUAGGCGGUUUGUCGCGUCGACUGUGAAAACCUGGGGCUUAACUCUGGGCCUGCAGUCGAUACGGGCAGACUUGAGUUCGGUAGGGGAGACUGGAAUUCCUGGUGUAGCGGUGAAAUGCGCAGAUAUCAGGAGGAACACCGGUGGCGAAGGCGGGUCUCUGGGCCGAUACUGACGCUGAGGAGCGAAAGCGUGGGGAGCGAACAGGAUUAGAUACCCCAGUAGUCC